Molecule: ribosomal RNA, 449 nt
Filed under: uncultured bacterium
Lineage: Bacteria
Description: partial 16S ribosomal RNA
Rfam family: Bacterial small subunit ribosomal RNA
Source: RNAcentral
AGCGAACGCUGGCGGCAUGCCUAACACAUGCAAGUCGAACGAGACCUUCGGGUCUAGUGGCGCACGGGUGCGUAACGCGUGGGAAUCUGCCCUUCGGUUGGGAAUAACUGAGAGAAAUUUCAGCUAAUACCUUAUAAUGUCUUCGGACCAAAGAUUUAUCGCCGAGGGAUGAGCCCGCGUAGGAUUAGCUAGUUGGUGGGGUAAUGGCCUACCAAGGCGACGAUCCUUAGCUGGUCUGAGAGGAUGAUCAGCCACACUGGGACUGAGACACGGCCCAGACUCCUACGGGAGGCAGCAGUGGGGAAUAUUGGACAAUGGGCGAAAGCCUGAUCCAGCAAUGCCGCGUGAGUGAUGAAGGCCUUAGGGUUGUAAAGCUCUUUUACCCGGGAUGAUAAUGACAGUACCGGGAGAAUAAGCUCCGGCUAACUCCGUGCCAGCAGCCGCCGUAA